CACAGGCAAACUAGUCGUGACAUGGGAGAUGUAUGAUUAAGUUAUCCCACAGCUUUUUUAAAAAGAAAGAUUAAUAGGCACCACUGCAGUGGACCCUGAAUCCGAUUGAACCAUGCUUCUGAAGUGGCGCAGAGAAAAACAGCACUGGAUACUGCAGAUCAACCCAUGUUGAGUUGUUCUUGUGGAAGUGAAGUCGCUCACACAGAUUGCCACACACUGUUCAGCCAGCUUGCUUCACUGCUAGAGGUCUUUAUAUCUGCUGAGCCAGUGCUUUUCCAGAGCUGAAAGCAGAAUUCAAAUAGGAGAUUCCAUGUGGCACUUGGAAUAGCAUUAUAUUAUCCAACAAUACCAUCCUGAGACCAAGAUGCUUCUGGAAUGUUUACUCACAAAUUCAGUGAUGGAAAUAUUAAGAAACUAAGACCCUGUGGGCAGCAGUAUACUUCCCUCUUCCUGUCAAGCUUCGAGAAAAAGCCAAAUUUGAGGAAGUAGCCUGAAGUAAAAUAAUUGCAGAGAAAUGCUCUCCUUUCCAUCCUGACUCUUCAGAAAGGAACAGGCAAGUCCUUUCAUUCUGAAGGCCAAAGCUGAACUCUGGUGAAUGUCAGUUCAAAUUAAACCCUGGGGCUGCAAGCCACAAUGGAUGGACCCACAAUG
Lacerta agilis (Sand lizard) is the source of this 651-nucleotide long non-coding RNA. RefSeq lists it as uncharacterized. NCBI's taxonomy places the organism in Eukaryota, Metazoa, Chordata, Lepidosauria, Squamata, Lacertidae. The transcript has 3 exons. The record is from RefSeq and is a predicted model, not a curated record.